Molecule: ribosomal RNA, 757 nt
Filed under: uncultured archaeon
Lineage: Archaea
Description: bacterial SSU rRNA
Rfam family: Archaeal small subunit ribosomal RNA
Source: RNAcentral
CCUUUGGGAGGGGAACCCCGGGAACUGGGGAAAUACCCCAUAGACUAUGAAUGCUGGAAUGCUUUGUAGUUGAAAGGUCAGCCGCCAUAGGAUGGGUCUGCGGCCGAUUAGGUUGUUGUUGGGGUAACGGCCCAACAAGCCUGUAAUCGGUACGGGUUGUGGGAGCAAGAGCCCGGAGAUGGAUUCUGAGACACGAAUCCAGGCCCUACGGGGCGCAGCAGGCGCGAAAACUUUACAAUGCGGGAAACCGUGAUAAGGGAACUCCGAGUGCCCGUAAAAUCGGGCUGUCCAUCUGUUUAAAUAACAGGUGAAGAAAGGGCCGGGCAAGACCGGUGCCAGCCGCCGCGGUAAUACCGGCGGCUCGAGUGGUGGCCACUAUUACUGGGCUUAAAGCGUUCGUAGCUGGUCUGUUAAGUCUCUGGGGAAAUCUACUGGCUUAACCAAUAGGCGUUUCAGGGAUACUGGCAGACUAGGGACCGGGAGAGGUGAGAGGUACUCCAGGGGUAGGAGUGAAAUCCUGUAAUCCUUGGGGGACCACCUGUGGCGAAGGCGUCUCACCAGAACGGCUCCGACAGUGAGGGACGAAAGCUGGGGGAGCAAACCGGAUUAGAUACCCGGGUAGUCCCAGCUGUAAACGAUGCGCGUUAGGUGUAUCGGUGACCACGAGUCAUCGAGGUGCCGAAGAGAAAUCGUGAAACGUGCCGCCUGGGAAGUUCGGUCGCAAGGCUGAAACUUAAAGGAAUUGGCGGGGGAGCAC